RNAcentral lists this ribosomal RNA (497 nucleotides) under uncultured bacterium. RNAcentral's name for it is "partial 16S ribosomal RNA". It matches the Rfam family "Bacterial small subunit ribosomal RNA", at positions 28 to 507 of the family's 1533-position model. The record is from RNAcentral.
GAUGAACGCUGGCGGCGUGCCUAAUACAUGCAGGUCGAGCGAACAGACGAGGAGCUUGCUCCUCUGACGUUAGCGGCGGACGGGUGAGUAACACGUGGAUAACCUACCUAUAAGACUGGGAUAACUUCGGGAAACCGGAGCUAAUACCGGAUAAUAUAUUGAACCGCAUGGUUCAAUAGUGAAAGACGGUUUUGCUGUCACUUAUAGAUGGAUCCGCGCCGCAUUAGCUAGUUGGUAAGGUAACGGCUUACCAAGGCAACGAUGCGUAGCCGACCUGAGAGGGUGAUCGGCCACCCUGGAACUGAGACACGGUCCAGACUCCUACGGGAGGCAGCAGUAGGGAAUCUUCCGCAAUGGGCGAAAGCUUGACGGAGCAACGCCGCGUGAGUGAUGAAGGUCUUCGGAUCGUAAAACUCUGUUAUUAGGGAAGAACAAAUGUGUAAGUAACUAUGCACGUCUUGACGGUACCUAAUCAGAAAGCCACGGCUAACUACGUG